AAAACUCUAAGCGGUGGAUCACUCGGCUCAUGGGUCGAUGAAGAACGCAGCAAACUGUGCGUCAUCGUGUGAACUGCAGGACACAUGAACAUCGACAUUUUGAACGCAUAUCGCAGUCCAUGCUGUUAUGUACUUUAAUUAAUUUUAUAGUGCUGCUUGGACUACAUAUGGUUGAGGGUUGUAAGACUAUGCUAAUUAAGUUGCUUAUAAAUUUUUAUAAGCAUAUGGUAUAUUAUUGGAUAAAAUAUAAUAAUUUUUAUUCAUAAUAUUAAAAAAUAAAUGAAAAACAUUAUCUCACAUUUGAAUGUGAAAAACGAAGAGAAAUAUUUUCUUUUUCAAUCAAAUAAUACUGAGAAAUGUCUAGCAUAAAAAAUUGAAAUAUUUUUCAUCUAGAAUUGUCUCUUAUUAAUGAUUCGGAAAUAGAAAAAUCUUGGUUAUGUUAUUAUUCUUCGUUGGUUCGUUAAAAAUGGAUAAAUAAAAACUUUGCAUACAAGAAUUAAUAAAAAUGUUAUAACGAAUUUAAUUAAAUGUUUUAUCAUUAUAUAUAAAGAAUUUAUGGCAAGAUAAAGUUAUAUACAACCUCAACUCAUAUGGGACUACCCCUGAAUUUAAGCAUAUUAAUUAGGGGAGGAAAAGAAACUAACAAGGAUUUUCUAGUAGCGGCGAGCGAAAAGAAAAACAGUUCAGCACUAAGUCACUUUGUCUAUAUGGCAAAUGUGAGAUGCAGUGUAUGGAGCGUCAAUAUUCUAGUAUGAGAAAUUAACGAUUUAAGUCCUUCUUAAAUGAGGCCAUUUACCCAUAGAGGGUGCCAGGCCCGUAUAACGUUAAUGAUUACUAGAUGAUGUUUCCAAAGAGUCGUGUUGCUUGAUAGUGCAGCACUAAGUGGGUGGUAAACUCCAUCUAAAACUAAAUAUAACCAUGAGACCGAUAGUAAACAAGUACCGUGAGGGAAAGUUGAAAAAGAACUCUGAAUAGAGAGUUAAACAGUACGUGAAACUGCUUAGAGGUUAAGCCCGAUGAACCUGAAUAUCCGUUAUGGAAAAUUCAUCAUUAAAAUUGUAAUAUUUAAAUAAUAUUAUGAGAAUAGUGUGCAUUUUUUUCCAUAUAAGGACAUUGUAAUCUAUUAGCAUAUAACCAAAUUUAUCAUAAAAUAUAACUUAUAGUUAUUCCAAUUAAAUUGCUUGCAUUUUAACACAGAAUAAAUGUUAUUAAUUUGAUAAAGUGCUGAUAGAUUUAUAUGAUUACAGUGCGUUAAUUUUCGGAAUAUAUAAUGGCAUAAUUAUCAUUGAUUUUUGUGUGUUUAUUUAUAUGUCACUUGUAUGAUUAACAAUGCGAAAGAUUCAGCGAUACCUUCGGGACCCGUCUUGAACACGGACCAAGGAGUCUAACAUAUGUGCAAGUUAUUGGGAUAUAAACCUAAUAGCGUAAUUAACUUGACUAAUAAUGGGAUUAGUUUUUUAGCUAUUUAUAGCUAAUUAACACAAUCCCGGGGCGUUCUAUAUAGUUAUGUAUAAUGUAUAUUUAUAUUAUUUAUGCCUCUAACUGGAACGUACCUUGAGCAUAUAUGCUGUGACCCGAAAGAUGGUGAACUAUACUUGAUCAGGUUGAAGUCAGGGGAAACCCUGAUGGAAGACCGAAACAGUUCUGACGUGCAAAUCGAUUGUCAGAAUUGAGUAUAGGGGCGAAAGACCAAUCGAACCAUCUAGUAGCUGGUUCCUUCCGAAGUUUCCCUCAGGAUAGCUGGUGCAUUUUAAUAUUAUAUAAAAUAAUCUUAUCUGGUAAAGCGAAUGAUUAGAGGCCUUAGGGUCGAAACGAUCUUAACCUAUUCUCAAACUUUAAAUGGGUAAGAACCUUAACUUUCUUGAUAUGAAGUUCAAGGUUAUGAUAUAAUGUGCCCAGUGGGCCACUUUUGUAAGCAGAACUGGCGCUGUGGAUGAACCAAACGUAAUGUUACGGUGCCCAAAUUAACAACUCAUGCAGAUACCAUGAAAGGCGUUGGUUGCUUAAAACAGCAGGACGGUGAUCAUGGAAGUCGAAAUCCGCUAAGGAGUGUGUAACAACUCACCUGCCGAAGCAACUAGCCCUUAAAAUGGAUGGCGCUUAAGUUGUUAUACCUAUACAUUACCGCUAAAGUAGAUGAUUUAUAUUACUUGUGAUAUAAAUUUUGAAACUUUAGUGAGUAGGAAGGUACAAUGGUAUGCGUAGAAGUGUUUGGCGUAAGCCUGCAUGGAGCUGCCAUUGGUACAGAUCUUGGUGGUAGUAGCAAAUAAUCGAAUGAGACCUUGGAGGACUGAAGUGGAGAAGGUUUCGUGUGAACAGUGGUUGAUCACGAGUUAGUCGGUCCUAAGUUCAAGGCGAAAGCCGAAAAUUUUCAAGUAAAACAAAAAUGCCUAACUAUAUAAACAAAGCGAAUUAUAAUACACUUGAAUAAUUUUGAACGAAAGGGAAUACGGUUCCAAUUCCGUAACCUGUUGAGUAUCCGUUUGUUAUUAAAUAUGGGCCUCGUGCUCAUCCUGGCAACAGGAACGACCAUAAAGAAGCCGUCGAGAGAUAUCGGAAGAGUUUUCUUUUCUGUUUUAUAGCCGUACUACCAUGGAAGUCUUUCGCAGAGAGAUAUGGUAGAUGGGCUAGAAGAGCAUGACAUAUACUGUUGUGUCGAUAUUUUCUCCUCGGACCUUGAAAAUUUAUGGUGGGGACACGCAAACUUCUCAACAGGCCGUACCAAUAUCCGCAGCUGGUCUCCAAGGUGAAGAGUCUCUAGUCGAUAGAAUAAUGUAGGUAAGGGAAGUCGG
Molecule: ribosomal RNA, 2792 nt
Filed under: Drosophila melanogaster (fruit fly)
Lineage: Eukaryota; Metazoa; Arthropoda; Insecta; Diptera; Drosophilidae
Description: eukaryotic LSU rRNA
Rfam family: Eukaryotic large subunit ribosomal RNA (bases 577-2792)
Source: RNAcentral